CACGGGUGCGUAACGCGUGGGAAUCUGCCCUUGGGUUCGGAAUAACAGCUAGAAAUGGCUGCUAAUACCGGAUGAUGACGUAAGUCCAAAGAUUUAUCGCCCAAGGAUGAGCCCGCGUAGGAUUAGCUAGUUGGUGAGGUAAAGGCUCACCAAGGCGACGAUCCUUAGCUGGUCUGAGAGGAUGAUCAGCCACACUGGGACUGAGACACGGCCCAGACUCCUACGGGAGGCAGCAGUGGGGAAUAUUGGACAAUGGGCGAAAGCCUGAUCCAGCAAUGCCGCGUGAGUGAUGAAGGCCUUAGGGUUGUAAAGCUCUUUUACCCGGGAUGAUAAUGACAGUACCGGGAGAAUAAGCUCCGGCUAACUCCGUGCCAGCAGCCGCGGUAAU
RNAcentral lists this ribosomal RNA (388 nucleotides) under uncultured bacterium. Its description in RNAcentral is "bacterial SSU rRNA". It matches the Rfam family "Bacterial small subunit ribosomal RNA", at positions 100 to 524 of the family's 1533-position model. The record is from RNAcentral.